RNAcentral lists this ribosomal RNA (397 nucleotides) under uncultured bacterium. RNAcentral describes it as "partial 16S ribosomal RNA". It matches the Rfam family "Bacterial small subunit ribosomal RNA", at positions 523 to 918 of the family's 1533-position model. The record is from RNAcentral.
AUACGUAGGUGGCAAGCGUUGUCCGGAAUUAUUGGGCGUAAAGCGCGCGCAGGUGGUUCCUUAAGUCUGAUGUGAAAGCCCCCGGCUCAACCGGGGAGGGUCAUUGGAAACUGGGGAACUUGAGUGCAGAAGAGGAUAGUGGAAUUCCAAGUGUAGCGGUGAAAUGCGUAGAGAUUUGGAGGAACACCAGUGGCGAAGGCGACUGUCUGGUCUGUAACUGACACGGAGGCGGGAAAGCGUGGGGAGCAAACAGGAUGAGAUACCCUGGUAGUCCACGCCGUAAACGAUGAGUGCUAAGUGUUGGGGGGUUUCCGCCCCUCAGUGCUGCAGCUAACGCAUUAAGCACUCCGCCUGGGGAGUACGGUCGCAAGACUGAAACUCAAAGGAAUUGGCGGGG